GCCCGGCGUGGUGCCAAGUGCCUGUAGUCCCAGCUGCUCGGCAGGCUGAAGUGGAAGGAUCGCUUGAGCCCAAAAAUUCUGGGCUGUAGUGCACUAUGCCGAUGGGGUGUCCACACUAAGUUCAGCAUCAGUACGGUGACCUCCCAGGAGUGCAGGACCACUAGGUUGCCUAAGGAGGGGUGAACCGACCCAGGGUGGAAACAGAGCAGGUCAAAACUCCCGUGCUGAUCAGUAGUGGGAUCGUGCCUGUGAACGGCCACUGCAUUCCAGCCUGGGCAACAUAGCGAGACCCCAUCUCU
RNAcentral lists this signal recognition particle RNA (299 nucleotides) under Saimiri boliviensis boliviensis (Bolivian squirrel monkey). RNAcentral describes it as "Metazoan signal recognition particle RNA (ENSSBOG00000002215.1)". It matches the Rfam family "Metazoan signal recognition particle RNA". Rfam says of the family: The signal recognition particle (SRP) is a universally conserved ribonucleoprotein. The record is from RNAcentral. Lineage: Eukaryota; Metazoa; Chordata; Mammalia; Primates; Cebidae.